Molecule: ribosomal RNA, 1327 nt
Filed under: metagenome
Description: bacterial LSU rRNA
Rfam family: Bacterial large subunit ribosomal RNA
Source: RNAcentral
UCGAGGCUGAAGAGCGUAGUCGAUGGGAACCAGGUGAAUAUUCCUGGACUUUGUAUAAGUGCGAAGGGGGGAUAGAGAAUACUAAGGCGCUUGAGAGAACUUGGGUGAAGGAACUAGGCAAAAUGGUACCGUAACUUCGGGAGAAGGUACGCCUUUUUUGGUGAGUUACCACGCGUAACGGAGCUGAGAAAGGCCGCAGAGACCAGGUGGCUGCGACUGUUUAUUAAAAACACAGCACUGUGCAAAUUCGUAAGAAGACGUAUACGGUGUGACGCCUGCCCGGUGCCGGAAGGUUAAUUGAUGGGGUCAUCUUCGGAGAAGCUCUUGAUCGAAGCCCCGGUAAACGGCGGCCGUAACAAUAACGGUCCUAAGGUAGCGAAAUUCCUUGUCGGGUAAGUUCCGACCUGCACGAAUGCGUAACGAUGGCCACACUGUCUCCACCCGAGACUCAGUGAAAUUGAAAUCGCUGUGAAGAUGCAGUGUACCCGCGGCUAGACGGAAAGACCCCGUGAACCUUUACUACAGCUUUGCACUGGACUUUGAUAAUAACUGUGUAGGAUAGGUGGGAGGCAAUGAAGUUAAGGCGCUAGCCUUGAUGGAGCCAACCUUGAAAUACCACCCUGUUGUUGUUGAGGUUCUAACUUAGUCCCGUAAUCCGGGACAAGAACAGUGUAUGGUGGGUAGUUUGACUGGGGCGGUCUCCUCCCAAAGAGUAACGGAGGAGCACAAAGGUACCCUCGGUACGGUCGGACAUCGUACCAAGAGUGUAAAGGCAAAAGGGUGCUUGACUGCGAGAGUGACAGCUCGAGCAGGUACGAAAGUAGGUCUUAGUGAUCCGGUGGUUCUGAAUGGAAGGGCCAUCGCUCAACGGAUAAAAGGUACUCCGGGAUAACAGGCUGAUACCGCCCAAGAGUUCAUAUCGACGGCGGUGUUUGGCACCUCGAUGUCGGCUCAUCACAUCCUGGGGCUGUAGCAGGUCCCAAGGGUAUGGCUGUUCGCCAUUUAAAGUGGUACGCGAGCUGGGUUUAGAACGUCGUGAGACAGUUCGGUCCCUAUCUGCCGUGGGCGUAGGAAAAUUGAGAGGAGCUGCUCCUAGUACGAGAGGACCGGAGUGGACGAACCUCUGGUGUACCGGUUGUCACGCCAGUGGCAUAGCCGGGUAGCUAAGUUCGGACGGGAUAACCGCUGAAAGCAUCUAAGCGGGAAGCCUCCCUCAAGAUGAGUUUUCCCAUGAAGCCCGUUGAAGACUACGACGUUGAUAGGAGAGGUGUGGAAGCACAGUAAUGUGUGUAGCUAACUCUUACUAAUUGGCUGAUUGUCUUGACCU